RNAcentral lists this long non-coding RNA (841 nucleotides) under Dermacentor andersoni. Its description in RNAcentral is "uncharacterized LOC126539998". Lineage: Eukaryota; Metazoa; Arthropoda; Arachnida; Ixodida; Ixodidae. The record is from RNAcentral.
UGUGGACAUAUCAGACGCCUUGUGAAACACUAAAGGAAAAAUUCAGUUUCGAGCUAUGGCACUUGCCGCAUAGAUGUGGGGGGCCUUCCACUAAUAGUGAUCGUUACCACUGCAUUUAGAAAUUGAAAGCAUUCAUGCAGACAAGGAUGAUUCUUUAUAUUUUUGGCUACCACUUCAAAUGCCUCCACCAAGUGUUACAAUGCUGCACGCAGCCAUACUAAGGAUCUCGCAGCAACAGCUGCAGGUAAAAAGCAGAAGCAAAGUGCUGGUGUGUACUGGACACUAUGUUUGAAAACUUUUAGGCAAGAAGAGUGCAAGAAGCAGAAUAACAACUGCAUUUAUUUCCAUAAUUCCCCAUUUGAAUGGCCUUUUCUUUUUGGUUAGACAAUGCCUACGCCUAGCCACAGCAGCUCCCUCAUACAGACUCCGCAAGCCAAGAGGCCGUGGAGGCAAAUGCAGGCAGCCAGCACACCUCGAACAGCCACCUUGACUGCGGGUGUGUCACCCUAGUUGCCAAGGAAACAUUUGAGGGAAAGCGACAGGCAAUGUGAACUGCCACUUCUCCAUGUAAACGAUACUCUUUCUCUCGGAUGACUCCUACGCCUCGCCACGCCAGCACAGUUGUGCACGAAGAUGCCGCGGAGGCACGUGCAGGUCAGAGGCAAGAAGCAGUGGCACUGGUGUCAACAUUCACCCAAUUUCUUUUUCUUACACUGAGGCAGCCAGCACACCUCGAACAGCCACCUUGACUGUGGGUGUGUCAGUAGAUUCCUGUUGUAUAUAUGCUCAUAAUAAACUUCAGUAAACUUGAACUUGAUAAUACACUUGAAGGCAAAUGGGA